RNAcentral lists this ribosomal RNA (460 nucleotides) under uncultured bacterium. RNAcentral's name for it is "partial 16S ribosomal RNA". It matches the Rfam family "Bacterial small subunit ribosomal RNA", at positions 338 to 795 of the family's 1533-position model. The record is from RNAcentral.
CCUACGGGAGGCAGCAGUGAGGAAUAUUGGUCAAUGGACGAGAGUCUGAACCAGCCAAGUAGCGUGAAGGAUGACUGCCCUAUGGGUUGUAAACUUCUUUUAUAUGGGAAUAAAACGUUCCACGUGUGGGAUUUUGUAUGUACCAUAUGAAUAAGGAUCGGCUAACUCCGCGCCAGCAGCCGCGGUAAUACGGAGGAUCCGAGCGUUAUCCGGAUUUAUUGGGUUUAAAGGGAGCGUAGGUGGAUUGUUAAGUCAGUUGUGAAAGUUUGCGGCUCAACCGUAAAAUUGCAGUUGAAACUGGCAGUCUUGAGUACAGUAGAGGUGGGCGGAAUUCGUGGUGUAGCGGUGAAAUGCUGAGAUAUCACGAAGAACUCCGAUUGCGAAGGCAGUUCACUGGACUGCAACUGACACUGAGGCUCGAAAGUGUGGGUAUCAAACAGGAUUAGAUACCCCUGUAGUC